UCUGCUGUGUGGACGUGACCCUGACCAGGGAGCUCCGAAAAUCGGUGAUAAUAACAUGAUAUAAUGAAAGUGAAAGGAAGGCAACUGAGAGAAUAAGAGAACGUAAACAAGAAGCAAUAGAGAACUGGAGAUCCUUAAACACUUUUAAAGAAAGAAGGCAUGUGCCCUAUCUUAACUGUUGGAAAACUUUCAGAAGAUGGGCAUAGGACUGAUAAAUGCAGCUGGCAAAAGUCUACCACAUUUGGGCUUUGUAUAGCAAGGACAUCAGAAGAACAGCACCGUCAGAAGGGAGGGUACAGUGAUUAUGGUGGAACUGCAUUAUAAACUCCAGGCUUUUUGGAAAAACCAAGUUCUUAGACAAAAGAAAAGCGAAUAGACAUUAAAAGAGAUAGAAGUCAAGAGAGUAUUGAUUAGAGUAAGGGCUGACUUGUAAGCAUGGUUGGCAGACCCACCCCUAAUAUUUAAGGUGCCCGGGGCCAGAAUGUUAUUAGAGCUCCUUCUAUUACUUACCUAAAUAUUUAAAAGUAGUAAAUCAAGACAAAUUAUUAA
Molecule: long non-coding RNA, 549 nt
Organism: Gorilla gorilla gorilla (western lowland gorilla)
Lineage: Eukaryota; Metazoa; Chordata; Mammalia; Primates; Hominidae
Exons: 3
Source: RefSeq, a predicted model, not a curated record